Molecule: ribosomal RNA, 245 nt
Filed under: uncultured bacterium
Lineage: Bacteria
Description: partial 16S ribosomal RNA
Rfam family: Bacterial small subunit ribosomal RNA
Source: RNAcentral
GACGAAGGUUGCGAGCGUUGUUCGGAAUCACUGGGCUUAAAGCGCAUGUAGGCGGAUAAGUAAGCGCUUUGUGAAAGCCCCCGGCUCAACCGGGGAAUUGCUUGGCGAACUGCUUAUCUUGAGGCAAGUAGGGGUGCAUGGAACUCUUGGUGGAGCGGUGGAAUGCGUAGAUAUCAAGAGGAACGCCUGCGGUGAAAACGGUGCACUGGGCUUGCCCUGACGCUCAGAUGCGAAAGCGUGGGGAG